AUGGUCAGCCAUGCCACCCUGAACAAGCCCAAUGUCUGAUCUCGGAAGCUAAGCAGGAUUGGGCCUGGUUAGUACUUGGAUGGGAGACCACCUAGGAAGACCAGUUGCUGUAGGGA
RNAcentral lists this ribosomal RNA (116 nucleotides) under Pteropus alecto (black flying fox). The record is from RNAcentral. Lineage: Eukaryota; Metazoa; Chordata; Mammalia; Chiroptera; Pteropodidae.